RNAcentral lists this ribosomal RNA (429 nucleotides) under Chloroflexota bacterium. RNAcentral describes it as "Chloroflexi bacterium partial 16S ribosomal RNA". It matches the Rfam family "Bacterial small subunit ribosomal RNA", at positions 355 to 776 of the family's 1533-position model. Lineage: Bacteria; Bacillati; Chloroflexota. The record is from RNAcentral.
UGGGGAAUAUUGCACAAUGGGCGCAAGCCUGAUGCAGCCACGCCGCGUGUGUGAAGAAGGCCUUCGGGUUGUAAAGCACUUUCAGCGGGGAGGAAGGCGAUAAGGUUAAUAACCUUGUCGAUUGACGUUACCCGCAGAAGAAGCACCGGCUAACUCCGUGCCAGCAGCCGCGGUAAUACGGAGGGUGCAAGCGUUAAUCGGAAUUACUGGGCGUAAAGCGCACGCAGGCGGUCUGUCAAGUCGGAUGUGAAAUCCCCGGGCUCAACCUGGGAACUGCAUUCGAAACUGGCAGGCUAGAGUCUUGUAGAGGGGGGUAGAAUUCCAGGUGUAGCGGUGAAAUGCGUAGAGAUCUGGAGGAAUACCGGUGGCGAAGGCGGCCCCCUGGACAAAGACUGACGCUCAGGUGCGAAAGCGUGGGGAGCAAACAGG